GAGAGAGAGAGAGAGAGAGAGAGAGAGAGAGAAGUGGUAGUGAAGGAAUAAUUCAGGUUGUUUGCAAAUUCAGAUAGAGUGAGAAAGGAUUUUUUUUUGGGUGUGUGUGUUCUUUAGAGUUGUGGGGAUGAACGGAUGAGGACUUUGAAAAUGUGACCUAGGCAUAGAGACAGGUGGCCAUGAAGUAAUGGAGCCCUUCUGCCAUUUUCUAGAGAGUUGGGGGCACCGUCCUCAGAAAUAUUUUGGUUCUUUACUAGAGACAGAGAGAGAGAGGUUUAAUAGAAGUAUGCAAGCUAAUUGCUGUAAGUUUAGCAAACUCAUUUUUUUUAUUUCAUUAAUCACAAGAAUAGGGAAAGUGUUUAUGUGCUCGGUCUUCUUGGUGUGAAGUGAGUUUAGAUGCAUUGUGCAGGCUAAGAUGUUAGAUAACCGAUGGUUACCAGGUCCUUGUGCAUCAAUUACUGGCAAUGCGUGCUUUGAAGCCUUUGUUGCAUGGUGGUCGAAAGUUUUGAAAUCCAACCAGAAAGCGAACAGAGAUGAGAGCACAUAUAAUGUGCUCCCCAUGGAGCAAAUUGGAUCCAAUUGAAAAAUAAAUAAUUUAUUUGGGGUUUUAUUAUUAUUAUUUUAUUUUAUCAUUUUGGCAAAGAUUGGAAAGUGUUUGGCCAUAAAUAUUUAUUUUUAUAUUUUCCCUUUUUCUUUUGGAUUAUUUUAAAAAUAUAUCCAGUUAAAAGUUGAUUUUUUAAAAUCUAAUUUUUUUUUUACUUAAUCUUACUCUAAACAUACAUUUCCUUUUUCUAUUGUUUUUUUUAUAAUUUUUUGACCUUUUCUAACACUGCUCCCACCGGAGUGAAGCAUGCGCUCCCUCCCAGGAAACAUCACUUUGAUUCAUGAAGCCAUUUUUUACUUUGGUUUGAUUUCAGGUGCUGGAAGUCAGCUUUAACAACACAGACAAGUUAUAAAAAACUGUUACGCAUUGAUGGCGUUGGUAUAUGUACUUAUCAAAGCAAAUGCUGCUCACUUCGGUCUCCGGGCUGUCUUAGCCAAAUUGUGAUCAGCAAAUGUGAUUGUAUUCAACGAGCUUUUGAAUGGAUAAUUCCAACAGAGCCUCUUCCCGCGGGCCCAAUGAUCUGUUGGGUUCCUUUGCAGACUUCCGGUGGAAGAAUGACAUGAUCGAUCAGUAACGUCGUUUUUGAUAAGUAUCUGUAAAGGCGUAAAGCCAUGACUUCAUACCAGCCAGUGUUUUCAAAAAUGGUUUGGGAGGUUCGAUCAAUUCCUGAAUCGAUUUGGAUUGUCGAUCCAGCCAAAUAGGACUUAUUAUCCAGUGUGAGAAUCGAUCCUUCAUUAAAUAUGUAUAAUGAUUUUAAAUUUAAAAAUAUUAAUAAUAAAUAAAAUAGAUAGGAGCUGAAUGAUUGGGCUAAU
RNAcentral lists this long non-coding RNA (1416 nucleotides) under Amborella trichopoda. RNAcentral's name for it is "long non-coding RNA (ATRI_LNC001129)". The record is from RNAcentral. Lineage: Eukaryota; Viridiplantae; Streptophyta; Magnoliopsida; Amborellales; Amborellaceae.